RNAcentral lists this ribosomal RNA (246 nucleotides) under uncultured bacterium. RNAcentral describes it as "partial 16S rRNA". It matches the Rfam family "Bacterial small subunit ribosomal RNA", at positions 505 to 750 of the family's 1533-position model. The record is from RNAcentral.
GUGCCAGCAGCCGCGGUAAUACGUAGGUGGCAAGCGUUGUCCGGAUUUACUGGGCGUAAAGGAUGUGUAGGCGGAUAUUUAAGUUAGAUGUGAAAUCCCCGGGCUUAACUUGGGGGCUGCAUUUCAAACUGGAUGUCUAGAGUGCAGGAGAGGAAAGCAGAAUUCCUAGUGUAGCGGUGAAAUGCGUGGAGAUAAAGAAGAAUACCAGUGGCGAAGGCGGCUGUCUGGACAGUAACUGACGCUGAG